This 253-nucleotide ribosomal RNA is filed under the name uncultured bacterium. RNAcentral's name for it is "partial 16S ribosomal RNA". It matches the Rfam family "Bacterial small subunit ribosomal RNA", at positions 524 to 776 of the family's 1533-position model. The record is from RNAcentral.
UACGUAGGUGGCAAGCGUUGUCCGGAUUUACUGGGCGUAAAGGAUGCGUAGGCGGACAUUUAAGUCAGAUGUGAAAUACCCGAGCUUAACUUGGGUGCUGCAUUUGAAACUGGGUGUCUAGAGUGCAGGAGAGGUAAGUGGAAUUCCUAGUGUAGCGGUGAAAUGCGUAGAGAUUAGGAAGAACACCAGUGGCGAAGGCGGCUCACUGGCCCGAUACUGACGCUGAGGCACGAAAGCGUGGGGAGCAAACAGG